UACGAAGGGGGCUAGCGUUGUUCGGAAUUACUGGGCGCAAAGCGCACGUAGGCGGAUCGAUCAGUCAGGGGUGAAAUCCCAGGGCUCAACCCUGGAACUGCCUUUGAUACUGUCGAUCUGGAGUAUGGAAGAGGUGAGUGGAAUUCCGAGUGUAGAGGUGAAAUUCGUAGAUAUUCGGAGGAACACCAGUGGCGAAGGCGGCUCACUGGUCCAUUACUGACGCUGAGGUGCGAAAGCGUGGGGAGCAAACAGG
This 253-nucleotide ribosomal RNA is filed under the name uncultured bacterium. Its description in RNAcentral is "partial 16S ribosomal RNA". It matches the Rfam family "Bacterial small subunit ribosomal RNA", at positions 524 to 776 of the family's 1533-position model. The record is from RNAcentral.